AUUGAACGCUGGCGGAAUGCUUUACACAUGCAAGUCGAACGGCAGCACGGACUUCGGUCUGGUGGCGAGUGGCGAACGGGUGAGUAACAUAUCGGAACGUAUCCAACAAUGGGGGAUAACUAAUCGAAAGGUUGGCUAAUACCGCAUACGCCCUACGGGGGAAAGCUAGGGACCUUCGGGCCUGGCGUUAAUGGAGCGGCCGAUAUCUGAUUAGCUAGUUGGUGGGGUAAAGGCCCACCAAGGCGACGAUCAGUAGCUGGUCUGAGAGGACGACCAGCCACACUGGAACUGAGACACGGUCCAGACUCCUACGGGAGGCAGCAGUGGGGAAUUUUGGACAAUGGGCGCAAGCCUGAUCCAGCCAUUCCGCGUGAGUGAAGAAGGCCUUCGGGUUGUAAAGCUCUUUCGCAAGGGAAGAAAACUUACCCUCUAACAUAGGGUGAGGUUGACGGUACCUUGAUAAGAAGCACCGGCUAACUACGUGCCAGCAGCCGCCGCGG
Molecule: ribosomal RNA, 500 nt
Filed under: uncultured bacterium
Lineage: Bacteria
Description: partial 16S ribosomal RNA
Rfam family: Bacterial small subunit ribosomal RNA
Source: RNAcentral